RNAcentral lists this ribosomal RNA (17 nucleotides) under Lampides boeticus (pea blue). Its description in RNAcentral is "partial 12S ribosomal RNA". Lineage: Eukaryota; Metazoa; Arthropoda; Insecta; Lepidoptera; Lycaenidae. The record is from RNAcentral.
AAAGUGUUUCUAGAAUA